CCUACGGGUGGCUGCAGUGAGGAAUAUUGGUCAAUGGACGAGAGUCUGAACCAGCCAAGUAGCGUGAAGGAUGACUGCCCUAUGGGUUGUAAACUUCUUUUAUAUGGGAAUAAAAUGUUCCACGUGUGGGAUUUUGUAUGUACCAUAUGAAUAAGGAUCGGCUAACUCCGUGCCAGCAGCCGCGGUAAUACGGAGGAUCCGAGCGUUAUCCGGAUUUAUUGGGUUUAAAGGGAGCGUAGGUGGAUUGUAAAGUCAGUUGUGAAAGUUUGCGGCUCAACCGUAAAAUUGCAGUUGAAACUGGCAGUCUUGAGUACAGUAGAGGUGAGCGGAAUUCGUGGUGUAGCGGUGAAAUGCUUAGAUAUCACGAAGAACUCCGAUUGCGAAGGCAGUUCACUGGACUGCAACUGACACUGAGGCUCGAAAGUGUGGGUAUCAAACAGGAUUAGAUACCCGUGUAGUC
RNAcentral lists this ribosomal RNA (460 nucleotides) under uncultured bacterium. Its description in RNAcentral is "partial 16S ribosomal RNA". It matches the Rfam family "Bacterial small subunit ribosomal RNA", at positions 338 to 795 of the family's 1533-position model. The record is from RNAcentral.